Molecule: ribosomal RNA, 253 nt
Filed under: uncultured bacterium
Lineage: Bacteria
Description: partial 16S ribosomal RNA
Rfam family: Bacterial small subunit ribosomal RNA
Source: RNAcentral
CACGUAGGGCGCAAGCGUUGUCCGGAAUUAUUGGGCGUAAAGAGCUCGUAGGCGGUCUGUUACGUCUGCUGUGAAAACCCAGGGCUUAACCCUGGGCUUGCAGUGGAUACGGGCAGACUAGAGGCAGGUAGGGGAGAAUGGAAUUCCCGGUGUAGCGGUGAAAUGCGCAGAUAUCGGGAGGAACACCGGUGGCGAAGGCGGUUCUCUGGGCCGGACCUGACGCUGAGGAGCGAAAGCGUGGGGAGCGAACAGG